UACCAUGCAAGUCGAGCGGUAGCACAGGAGAGCUUGCUCUCUGGGUGACGAGCGGCGGACGGGUGAGUAAUGUCUGGGAAACUGCCUGAUGGAGGGGGAUAACUACUGGAAACGGUAGCUAAUACCGCAUAACGUCUUCGGACCAAAGUGGGGGACCUUCGGGCCUCACGCCAUCAGAUGUGCCCAGAUGGGAUUAGCUAGUAGGUGGGGUAAUGGCUCACCUAGGCGACGAUCCCUAGCUGGUCUGAGAGGAUGACCAGCCACACUGGAACUGAGACACGGUCCAGACUCCUACGGGAGGCAGCAGUGGGAAAUAUUGCACAAUGGGCGCAAGCCUGAUGCAGCCAUGCCGCGUGUGUGAAGAAGGCCUUCGGGUUGUAAAGCACUUUCAGCGAGGAGGAAGGGUGGUGUGUUAAUAGCACAUUACAUUGACGUUACUCGCAGAAGAAGCACCGGCUAACUCCGUGCCAGCAGCCGCGGUAAUACGGAGGGUGCAAGCGUUAAUCGGAAUUACUGGGCGUAAAGCGCACGCAGGCGGUUUGUUAAGUCAGAUGUGAAAUCCCCGCGCUUAACGUGGGAACUGCAUUUGAAACUGGCAAGCUAGAGUCUUGUAGAGGGGGGUAGAAUUCCAGGU
Molecule: ribosomal RNA, 634 nt
Filed under: uncultured Serratia sp.
Lineage: Bacteria; Pseudomonadati; Pseudomonadota; Gammaproteobacteria; Enterobacterales; Yersiniaceae
Description: bacterial SSU rRNA
Rfam family: Bacterial small subunit ribosomal RNA
Source: RNAcentral